RNAcentral lists this ribosomal RNA (253 nucleotides) under uncultured bacterium. Its description in RNAcentral is "partial 16S ribosomal RNA". It matches the Rfam family "Bacterial small subunit ribosomal RNA", at positions 524 to 776 of the family's 1533-position model. The record is from RNAcentral.
UACAGAGGUCCCGAGCGUUGUUCGGAUUCACUGGGCGUAAAGGGUGCGUAGGUGGUGAGGUAAGUCGGAUGUGAAAUCUCCGGGCUCAACCCGGAAAUGGCAUUGGAAACUACCUUGCUGGAGGGUUUGAGGGGGGAUUGGAAUACUUGGUGUAGCAGUGAAAUGCGUAGAUAUCAAGUGGAACACCAGUGGCGAAGGCGAAUCCCUGGAAAAUACCUGACACUGAGGCACGAAAGCUAGGGGAGCAAACGGG